RNAcentral lists this ribosomal RNA (218 nucleotides) under Anoxybacillus sp. ST70. RNAcentral's name for it is "partial 16S ribosomal RNA". It matches the Rfam family "Bacterial small subunit ribosomal RNA", at positions 1318 to 1533 of the family's 1533-position model. Lineage: Bacteria; Bacillati; Bacillota; Bacilli; Caryophanales; Anoxybacillaceae. The record is from RNAcentral.
GCAUGAAGCCGGAAUCGCUAGUAAUCGCGGAUCAGCAUGCCGCGGUGAAUACGUUCCCGGGCCUUGUACACACCGCCCGUCACACCACGAGAGUUUGCAACACCCGAAGUCGGUGAGGUAACCCUUACGGGAGCCAGCCGCCGAAGGUGGGGCAAAUGAUUGGGGUGAAGUCGUAACAAGGUAGCCGUAUCGGAAGGUGCGGCUGGAUCACCUCCUUU